UCGAGACGCUGAGUCGGAACCCGCACUCGCGAGUUACCUCUACUCAACGAUUCUCUCUCACUCGUCGCUCGAACGCUCUCUCUCAUUUCACCUCGGCAACAAGCUCUGCUCCUCGACUCUGCUCUCUACUCUCCUCUACGAUCUAUUCCUGGACACCUUCUCCAAAGAUGCGGAGCUGCGAUCCGCCACCGUCGCCGAUCUACGCGCCAAUCAUAUGCGUGACCCGGCCUGCGUGUCGUUCUCGCAUUGUCUCCUGAAUUACAAGGGUUUUCUGGCUUGCCAGGCUCACAGAGUGGCUCACAGGCUCUGGACUCAGAUGAGGCGGCCGCUCGCGCUCGCGCUUCAGUCGCGGAUUGCUGACGUGUUCGCGGUGGAUAUCCACCCGGCGGCGAGGAUUGGGAAGGGGAUUCUGUUUGAUCACGCCACCGGAGUGGUGGUCGGAGAGACGGCGGUGAUCGGUAACAAUGUAUCGAUUCUGCAUCACGUGACGCUCGGCGGCACGGGCAAGGCCGGCGGUGACCGCCAUCCAAAAAUCGGAGAUGGAGUUCUGAUUGGAGCGGGAGCAACGAUUCUGGGGAACAUAAAGAUCGGGGAGGGAGCGAAGAUAGGAGCGGGGUCGGUGGUGCUGAUCGAUGUGCCGGCGAGGACAACGGCGGUUGGGAAUCCGGCGAGGCUAGUGGGAGGGAAAGAGAAGCCUGCGAGGCAUGAGGACGUGCCUGGUGAAUCGAUGGAUCAUACAUCGUUCAUUUCUGAGUGGUCAGAUUAUAUCAUCUGAUUGAUU
Molecule: long non-coding RNA, 781 nt
Filed under: Vitis vinifera (wine grape)
Lineage: Eukaryota; Viridiplantae; Streptophyta; Magnoliopsida; Vitales; Vitaceae
Description: long non-coding RNA (VVIN_LNC003382)
Source: RNAcentral